GUCCCAGUUCGGAUUGUAGUCUGCAACCCGACUACAUGAAGCUGGAAUCGCUAGUAAUCGCGAAUCAGCAUGUCGCGGUGAAUACGUUCCCGGGUCUUGUACACACCGCCCGUCACACCAUGGGAGUUGGCAACGCCCGAAGCCAGUGACCCAACCGAGAGGAGGGAGCUGUCGAAGGCGGGGCCGGUAACUGGGGUGAAGUCGUAACAAGGUAGC
RNAcentral lists this ribosomal RNA (216 nucleotides) under uncultured bacterium. RNAcentral's name for it is "partial 16S ribosomal RNA". It matches the Rfam family "Bacterial small subunit ribosomal RNA", at positions 1285 to 1500 of the family's 1533-position model. The record is from RNAcentral.